RNAcentral lists this ribosomal RNA (430 nucleotides) under Pseudomonadota bacterium. RNAcentral's name for it is "Proteobacteria bacterium partial 16S ribosomal RNA". It matches the Rfam family "Bacterial small subunit ribosomal RNA", at positions 355 to 776 of the family's 1533-position model. Lineage: Bacteria; Pseudomonadati; Pseudomonadota. The record is from RNAcentral.
UGGGGAAUAUUGGACAAUGGGCGCAAGCCUGAUCCAGCCAUGCCGCGUGUGUGAAGAAGGCCUUAUGGUUGUAAAGCACUUUAAGCGAGGAGGAGGCUACUUUAGUUAAUACCUAGAGAUAGUGGACGUUACUCGCAGAAUAAGCACCGGCUAACUCUGUGCCAGCAGCCGCGGUAAUACAGAGGGUGCGAGCGUUAAUCGGAUUUACUGGGCGUAAAGCAUGCGUAGGCGGCUAAUUGAGUCGGAUGUGAAAUCCCCGAGCUUAACUUGGGAAUUGCAUUCGAUACUGGUUAGCUAGAGUGUGGGAGAGGAUGGUAGAAUUCCAGGUGUAGCGGUGAAAUGCGUAGAGAUCUGGAGGAAUACCGAUGGCGAAGGCAGCCAUCUGGCCUAACACUGACGCUGAGGUACGAAAGCAUGGGGAGCAAACAGG